AGGUCUGGCAGGCUGGAAGCCUUUUUCACUUUUAAGUACUAGAUCCCCUCCAGAGGAAGACUCACCAGGCUGCAGCAGCCAGCUGAGGUGGGAGCCUGCAGGAAGGGUCAGAUUAGAACAGAGAUAGGAAGAGGUGGAAGGGUGGACACUAAGACCUAGGGAUGCCCCAAAUUUUCAGGUGCCCUACGCCUUGUAUGCUGCAUAUGCCUAAGGAUGGCCCUGGGUGAAAUAAAAAGAUGAAAAGACAGACAGCAAAUGCCUGACACUGAAAGCUGCAACUUGCCUGUGCCUAGUGCACAAGGAGAAGUUGAAAAUACGAUCCCUGUAAAGCUGCUAUGGCCAGGGGUCCUGUGAUGAAAGAUGUAAAAAUCAAAGCAACUAAUUUUUCCCAGUGCGUAGGGUUUUGAAGGAGGAUUAAUUUGCUUGCUUCAGGCACUUUACUCCCUCUAUAUCCAUCACCAUUCUGAAUUGUACCACCUUUAUGCCAUCCGAAUGAAAGAAUCAUAACCUUGUUUUUCCAAACUAAGCUGGGGAUAUGGCACCGGGUGGCAAUGGUGGGUUAGUGCCCUGGCUUCUCACCUUCAAAUCCUAGUUAAAUUAAAAUAAAUUUGGUGGCCGGAUUCCAUCAUUAUGCAUAUUACAAAACCACCCAAUGAUCUGAUCAGAGUGUCUGCUGAAGCAAUAGUCAAGACUGGGCUAAGAAAGCAGUAACUUAAGAACAAGUUAGAUGAACCCCUGUCAGGAAUUCUGCUUGAACACAGGUGGAUGGAAUAGAUCAUCUCUUGAGGUCCCUUCCAGCCCUACACUUCUAUUAUUCUACCAGCAGGUUACAACACCGACCCAACUUUUUGUGGGAAGAUUGCACAGCCUUAGUCUGCUCUAGGUCUAGCCCGAGCCCCAAUUAGCACUCACUUUAAGGCAAACUAGAUCUGCUCUCAGAUUUUAAGAGGGUGGGGAAUGUUUGGAAAGCACACAAUGCUGUAAGCAGUAUGGGAAGAAAAGAGGCAUUUAAAUACUUUGAUUUUUAAAUUGAUUUGUCCAUGAGCUUUAAAGAGAGAGUGAUACAUGUGUGCGCAACUUCUAAAUGUAUGUGAGCAAGAGAGAAGCCUGGUAUAUUUAUAAGUACAGUAAAACCUCAGAGUUCUGAACACCAGAGUUAUGAACUGACCAACCCAAACACCCCUCGUUUGGAACCAGAAGUACACAAUCAGGCAGCAGCAGAGACCCCCCCCCCCCCCAAAA
Long non-coding RNA from Dermochelys coriacea (leatherback sea turtle), 1242 nucleotides. RefSeq lists it as uncharacterized. The record is from RefSeq and is a predicted model, not a curated record. The transcript has 2 exons. NCBI's taxonomy places the organism in Eukaryota, Metazoa, Chordata, Testudines, Dermochelyidae.